RNAcentral lists this ribosomal RNA (252 nucleotides) under Francisella tularensis subsp. holarctica. RNAcentral describes it as "partial 16S ribosomal RNA". It matches the Rfam family "Bacterial small subunit ribosomal RNA", at positions 455 to 705 of the family's 1533-position model. Lineage: Bacteria; Pseudomonadati; Pseudomonadota; Gammaproteobacteria; Thiotrichales; Francisellaceae. The record is from RNAcentral.
UAAUAGCCUUGGGGGAGGACGUUACCCAAAGAAUAAGCACCGGCUAACUCCGUGCCAGCAGACGCGGUAAUACGGGGGGUGCAAGCGUUAAUCGGAAUUACUGGGCGUAAAGGGUCUGUAGGUGGUUUGUUAAUUCAGAUGUGAAAGCCCAGGGCUCAACCUUGGAACUGCAUUUGAUACUGGCAAACUAGAGUACUGUAGAGGAAUGGGGAAUUUCUGGUGUAGCGGUGAAAUGCGUAGAGAUCAGAAGUA